UGGUUCCUCCCGGGUUUCUCCCUGUAGCUUCUGGGUUGUUGAUGUUUGGACUCUUGUGAAGAUGGCUUGCGCUGCCCCACCGUCCCUGGCCAACCAGGACAGGUUUAUUUGUAUCUAUCCUGCUUAUUUAAAUAAUAAGAAGAUCAUCACAGAGGGAAGGCGAAUCCCCAUAAGUAAGGCUAUUGAAAAUUCUACAGCUACAGAGAUUCAAGAUGUAUGUUCAGCAGUUGGACUUAAUGUAUUUCUUCAGAAAAAUAAAAUGUACUCUAGAGAAUGGAAUUGCGACAUCCAAUACAGAGGCACAGUCUGGGUCCAGCUCCAACAAGAUGGCAGCCUUUGCCUUGUACAGUUCCCAUCACAUUAUACACUAAGCCUAACUUCUGGUUCCUGGGUAAGUCAGUAAUGCUGUAUGUAGCAGAAAUGAUACCCAAACUAAAAACAAGGACACAAAAAACAGGAGGUGGUGACCAAAGUCUUCAACAAGGAGUAAGAAGUAAAAAAGGGAAAGGAAAGAAAAAGGAGCAACCUAGGAUCAGCAUCAAGUAUGUGGUACUAUUUAGAAGACAUGAAUGGAGGCUUCUAAUUUGUAUCAGAGGAAAAGAGAAGCUUUAUGUUUGCAUCAUUGAACUGAACUGUGAAUACUUGUGCCUCUCAUCUUUAUCAUCAGAGCAGACAGUGAAAAAAAUUUCCAUCAGAAGUUUGCAUCUCGCUUUUAUGCAGUAUAAAAGACUUUUUUGUCUUUCAGUGCAGGUUUUUUUGGGAAGAAAGAAUAUUUUUAAAUGGAGAAUGGACUGUACAAUAAGUUACUUGAAAUAAGUUACUUGUUUCAGAUAAAUUUCAAUUAGAUUUGAAAUAAACAUUUGGUAUAUGUUUUAAGUUAAUGAAAUUAAAUUUGAAACUGAAAAAAAAAAAAAAAAGAAAGAAAAAGUGAUCAGAGUACACUAC
RNA transcript from Sapajus apella (tufted capuchin), 945 nucleotides. It is a transcript of the gene named signal recognition particle 19 kDa protein pseudogene, with no coding region annotated. The record is from RefSeq and is a predicted model, not a curated record. The transcript has a single exon. NCBI's taxonomy places the organism in Eukaryota, Metazoa, Chordata, Mammalia, Primates, Cebidae.